ACUCCUACGGGAGGCAGCAGUGAGGAAUAUUGGUCAAUGGAGGGAACUCUGAACCAGCCAUCCCGCGUGUAGGAAGACGGCCUUAUGGGUUGUAAACUACUUUUAUACAGGAAGAAACGUACCCUCGUGAGGGUGCCUGACGGUACUGUAGGAAUAAGCACCGGCUAACUCCGUGCCAGCAGCCGCGGUAAUACGGAGGGUGCGAGCGUUAUCCGGAAUCAUUGGGUUUAAAGGUCCGUAGGUGGAUGAUUAAGUCAGAGGUGAAAUCCUGCAGCUCAACUGUAGAAUUGCCUUUGAUACUGGUUGUCUUGAAUUAUUGUGAAGUAGUUAGAAUAUGUGGUGUAGCGGUGAAAUGCAUAGAUAUCACAUAGAAUACCGAUUGCGAAGGCAGAUUACUAACAAUACAUUGACACUGAUGGACGAAAGCGUGGGGAGCGAACAGGAUUAGAUACCCUGGUAGCGACUG
This 466-nucleotide ribosomal RNA is filed under the name uncultured bacterium. RNAcentral describes it as "bacterial SSU rRNA". It matches the Rfam family "Bacterial small subunit ribosomal RNA", at positions 335 to 797 of the family's 1533-position model. The record is from RNAcentral.